This 489-nucleotide ribosomal RNA is filed under the name uncultured bacterium. Its description in RNAcentral is "bacterial SSU rRNA". It matches the Rfam family "Bacterial small subunit ribosomal RNA", at positions 28 to 516 of the family's 1533-position model. The record is from RNAcentral.
GAUGAACGCUGGCGGCGUGCUUAACACAUGCAAGUCGAACGAAGCACUUAAACGGAAGUUUUCGGAUGGAAGAUUAAGUGACUGAGUGGCGGACGGGUGAGUAACGCGUGGGCAACCUGCCUCAUACAGGGGGAUAACAGUUAGAAAUAGCUGCUAAUACCGUAUAAGCUUACGGUACCGCAUGGUACAGUAAGAAAAACUCCGGUGGUAUGAGAUGGGCCCGCGUCUGAUUAGCUAGUUGGUAAGGUAACGGCUUACCAAGGCGACGAUCAGUAGCCGACCUGAGAGGGUGACCGGCCACAUUGGGACUGAGACACGGCCCAAACUCCUACGGGAGGCAGCAGUGGGGAAUAUUGCACAAUGGGGGAAACCCUGAUGCAGCGACGCCGCGUGAAGGAAGACGGUUUUCGGAUUGUAAACUUCUGUUCUUAGUGAAGAAGAAUGACGGUAACUAAGGAGCAAACCACGGCUAACUACGUGCCAGCAGCC